GUAUAGCUCAAGUGGUAGAGCGCAUGCCUAGCAUGCACAAGGUCCUGGGUUCAAUCCCCAGUAC
RNAcentral lists this transfer RNA (64 nucleotides) under Camelus bactrianus (Bactrian camel). It matches the Rfam family "tRNA", at positions 5 to 66 of the family's 71-position model. Rfam says of the family: Transfer RNA (tRNA) molecules are approximately 80 nucleotides in length. Their secondary structure includes four short double-helical elements and three loops (D, anti-codon, and T loops). Further hydrogen bonds mediate the characteristic L-shaped molecular structure. tRNAs have two regions of fundamental functional importance: the anti-codon, which is responsible for specific mRNA codon recognition, and the 3' end, to which the tRNAs corresponding amino acid is attached (by aminoacyl-tRNA synthetases). tRNAs cope with the degeneracy of the genetic code in two manners: having more than one tRNA (with a specific anti-codon) for a particular amino acid; and 'wobble' base-pairing, i.e. permitting non-standard base-pairing at the 3rd anti-codon position. RNAcentral also lists the same sequence under 2 other names. The record is from Rfam by way of RNAcentral. Lineage: Eukaryota; Metazoa; Chordata; Mammalia; Artiodactyla; Camelidae.